UUAAAAUCACAGCUAGAAAAGCAAAAAUGGUGCUUGGUCUAAAUAUUAAAGACAUGUGUUAACCACUUCAAUUUUGUUUCUGACUGGUUUUAAAUGUAUAAAUAUGUUCUACAUGCCUUGGUCAUAGAUUAUUGGCCUUUAAGUUAUUAGAUAUGGUUAAAAAAUUAUAACAUCUAUAACAAGAAGUUGACAUAAAACUGAUAAUUUAGAUAAAGUCAUUCUAGACAAUAUGUGACAUGAGCCAACCUAGAGAAACAGGUCUAAAUUGAGAUAAUAUUUUUAUAGAACUCUUAUCCUAGAAGCCAGGCACCCCCAAAUUACAGAAUGUAAAAUUGUGUUAGAAGUUUUUAAAAGAUUUCAUGAUUCUUUCAAUUUAAUUUCUGAUUCUGCUUAUGUAGUUAACGCUGUGCGCUCACUUGAAAUUACAGGGCCAAUUAGGUUGACUAGUACUAUAUGUCAAAUUCUUUUAGAAUUACAAAAAUUAAUUUGGACCAAGAAAAAAUAAGUUUUUCAUACAACAUAUUCGAGCUCAUACUAAUUUGCCUGGUCCCAUGGCCAGUAAUAACGCUUUGGUGGAUGCUAGUACUCGCAGAGAAUUUAUUUUUCAUGCAGCUCCAGUUGAUCUUGCUAGAGAAUUUCAUCAAAAGUUUCAUGUUCCUGCUUUCACUCUUCAACAAAAAUUUAAAAUCUCUAGAGCUACAGCUCGUGAUGUAGUAUUACGUUGCCAGAAUUGUGUUCAGUUUCACCACCCUCCUCAGGUGGGAGUUAACCCUCGUGGUCUGAUUCCACUAAAACUCUGACAGAUGGAUGUCACACACAUAUCUCAAUUUGGAAAUUUAAAAUAUACACAUGUUUCUGUUGAUACCUGUUCUGGCAUUAUACAUGCCACUCUGAUGACUGGUGAAAAGGCUCGUAAUGCCAUUAGUCAUUGCUUAGAGGCAUGGACAGCCUGGGGAAAGCCUGACAGCCUCAAGACAGACAACGGACCUGCCUACACCACAAAGUCUUUUCAGACAUUUUGCCAAACAAUGCAGGUCAAACAUACUACAGGAUUGCCAUACAAUCCCCAAGGUCAAGGAAUUGUAGAAAGAGCACAUCGUACUUUAAAAGAGCUCUUACAAAAACAAAAAGGGGGAAUUGCCUAUGGCAAAACACCAAGAGAACAGUUGUCUUUAGCUCUUUUUACUCUAAAUUUCUUAAUUUUGGAUAUGCAUGGCCGCUCUACUGCGGAUCACCAUGCUGCUACUAAACCUAUGACUAUUCAAAUACAGACAGCUGAGACUAUCAAUCAGAUUGUAGAAAGAACCGCAGUGGCAUUAGAGAUACAAGAAGAAUUUAAUGCCCACUUGGCAUCUGGCUUUCUAUUAGCUAACCAACGAAUAGAUUUGAUUCAAGAACAAAUUGAGGCAUUAUAUCAUAUGACGCAGCUGUCCUGCGUUUCCUCUCUUAGAGGCUUAUGUGUUAUUCCAUUGCAAGCUAACUUUUCUCAGUAUUUUCAACAGAGCAAAGAAAUCUCAAAUUAUUUGAAAGGAAACUGGUCCAUGGAAGCGGAACAAUUAUCGAGACAAUUGCUGAUGCAGAUUGCUGUCCUUAACAACACCAGAAUGGAACCCAUCUCGAUUGGGGAUUUCACCUCGUGGAUCACCAAUGCUUUCUCAUUUUUCAAAGAAUGGGCUGGCAUGUUUACCUGGGGGGCCAUUGUCCUCUUGGGAUGUGGAGUAUGUCUAUGGCUUUUUUGCCAUUUACAACGAGAGCAUGCCAGACACAAAGCGAUUGUUUACCAAGCUAUGGCGGCCAUUGAAAGCGGUGCUUCUCCCAGUGUAUGGCUGGCCUCUCUGAUAGAGAGUUCGCCCUAGAUCAUAUUUUGUCACUGUCAUGUGAAGUCAUUGUAUCCAGAGACGGGCAACUUUCCUCAGGCUCGGACCAACCUAAGACAGGAGCCCGGUGGCGAUAGGGUUAAUUUCCAGUGACGGGUAAGGCCGAGUUUUUAGAGAGGAACGACCUAAGACAGGAGCAAUGACGUGUAUUGACGUGACACCCAGAUCUAGACCAGUCAUAGACAGAGGUGGCCUUGCCCUGUUUGAACAUUCGGUCUGGUCCUAUGCCCCUCUGCUCUGCUUCUCCCCUAAUAUUAAACACACACGUAUAGCCCAGGACGGUGUGUUGUACAUAAGUCAUCUCUAGCCAUUGGGGUGCAGUCCUAACUGCAAGAGUGGUUCGCCAUGGCCGAGCUGGGCACUCUGUGAGGCAUGUCUGACCUCUCUCAGACCACUACCUCCACCUAAUGGGUUCAUUUUUAAAAAAAAAAACAAAAAAGAGGGAGAUGUAGGGAGCGGCUAAAGAUGGCGCCGACAUCCGGUGGUCGUUUGUGGUAAACACCUACAGCGCAUGUGUUGGCAGACCCCCAGCACCUACAAGGCCAGGGUGAUAUUCAUGCUAAAUAGGUAUUUCAUGCUCCACCAAUCCCCAGUGGACAAAUUUACAGCCACAGCCUGUCUUGUAUUUAAGGCGAGUGCCUUUGUUCCCCGGGGCCCCCGUAUCAUCAACUAGGUGUUCCUGCAAUAAAGGCUGAUUGAGAAGG
RNAcentral lists this long non-coding RNA (2581 nucleotides) under Rattus norvegicus (Norway rat). RNAcentral describes it as "long non-coding RNA NONRATT006797". Lineage: Eukaryota; Metazoa; Chordata; Mammalia; Rodentia; Muridae. The record is from RNAcentral.